Long non-coding RNA from Ornithodoros turicata, 514 nucleotides. RefSeq lists it as uncharacterized. NCBI's taxonomy places the organism in Eukaryota, Metazoa, Arthropoda, Arachnida, Ixodida, Argasidae. The transcript is spliced from 4 exons. The record is from RefSeq and is a predicted model, not a curated record.
CAGAGCCUCCUCUCAAAAAAGCUAACUUUCAGACGGAUGGAGUCACUGUAACCAUCAAUGAAACUGUGUCAAUGCCACUCGAUCAGUGGCUGCACUGUCAAAGAGAAAAGAAAGAGAGUCUUUUUGUGCGGAGCAUGGCACUGGCUUGUGGGGGAAGGAUACACUCAAGAACAGGUCGACAGAAGGACGGGUGUCGAAUCGGUUUAGAAAGCAACCUGAAGCUACGGCAAAACCCCAACUCUCACCAGAAAAAAAUGGUGUCCUAGAAGACUGCUUUGAGGACUGGCUCGUGAAGCGUGGUGCCAGUGGUCCAUGCUUGAAAGAAAGGUUGAACUCCCUGAAAGGCCACCUGAUUUCAGCUCUACGGGAUGCUGCAAGACCAGCAAAAGACACACCGACCACACCCACAAAUGCCACCUCAUAAGGACCUUAUUUCUGCUGAAGUUUCUGGUUGUCCUCAUAUCUUCGCAGCAGAAGAAGGAUCCCACUGCUGCCUGUGAUGCAGGAGGUCAAG